Molecule: ribosomal RNA, 253 nt
Filed under: uncultured bacterium
Lineage: Bacteria
Description: partial 16S ribosomal RNA
Rfam family: Bacterial small subunit ribosomal RNA
Source: RNAcentral
UACGUAGGGUGCAAGCGUUGUCCGGAUUUAUUGGGUUUAAAGGGUGCGUAGGCGGCCUGUUAAGUCAGGGGUGAAAGACGGUAGCUCAACUAUCGCAGUGCCCUUGAUACUGACGGGCUUGAGUACAGACGAGGUUGGCGGAAUGGACUGAGUAGCGGUGAAAUGCAUAGAUACAGUCCAGAACCCCGAUUGCGAAGGCAGCUGACUAGGCUGUUACUGACGCUGAGGCACGAAAGCGUGGGGAGCGAACAGG